Molecule: ribosomal RNA, 114 nt
Filed under: Serratia liquefaciens
Lineage: Bacteria; Pseudomonadati; Pseudomonadota; Gammaproteobacteria; Enterobacterales; Yersiniaceae
Also listed under: 12 other names
Source: RNAcentral
UGGCGGCAAUAGCGCGGUGGUCCCACCUGACCCCAUGCCGAACUCAGAAGUGAAACGCCGUAGCGCCGAUGGUAGUGUGGGGUCUCCCCAUGCGAGAGUAGGACACUGCCAGGC